UCCUGCCCAAGAGAGAAGUCUCCUUAUGAGCUUGGGAGAUGAUAUCCAGCUGCCGGAGAAUUUCCUCACUGAGUCCCCAGAUUUUGAGGACCCUGUCUCUUCCAUGGAGCCCCUCCUUCCGGAGAGCAUCUUUCCCUCUCUGGAUCCAACAGAGCCCAGGGAGUCCGGGCAGGCCCAGGACGUGUUGGCAACCCCUCCUCGGCCCUGUGAUGACACUGGAGGCCAGUCUCAGGAGCCCCAAGCCAAGACAGACGUGCCCAUCCCAAGACCCUCCCCAGGGAAACCAUCCAAGGCAUCCAACAAGCCUGAACUCAAUACAAAGGCAAAGAGAGGGAAAAGGCCAGCAAGUGAAGGGGAACCAAGGAGGAAGGGGACAAAGACAAACAAAAGCUCAGAUACCACCACAGCUCCAAAUGCUUCUGGGGAGGGAACGGCUUUGGGGGCACAUAAACUGUAAAAAAGAAGACGACAACCUCAGUGACCAACACCCAGACAACCUUGGUCAUUUUGCGGUGUCCCACAGAGCCCCCUGAUUCUUCCACAUUUAUAAGGGACACUUUCAUCCCGUGGAGAACACCCCCUCCUGACCUGCAAGUCUCAAAGCCCAUCACAAAAGAGCAACGACCCAUUAGGAAAUAAUGAAACUUCAGGCCCAGCGGGAGAGGGAGGAGGCCACCAACUGGACCACAGUGGGGGUGAAGUACUUAGUGGAGCAGUAAAAGGAAAUGGACCUCUCUAUCGCCUAGGGCGAUAUCCUUCACACAUCAAAAGAGUAACUACCUUUACAAAGGAAAAUCUUCUCCAUCAAAUUGCUGACCUUAACAAUGAACAAUGCAUUCCAUUGGUGGUUGGUCUCCAUCCAGCAUCUCAGAAUUAUAGCAGAACAAUUAGAGAAAGCUGAAAAGGGUCAUCAUAACUCAGAAGAGAUUUGACGGCACACAAUCAUUAUCCAUUGUGGGCAUCAGCAUGCAUCCAGUGAUAGCAUUAUACUGGCAUCCCAAAAUACAGAAAUUACUUGUCAGAAAUAUUGUCAGACACUAGUCAGCCAUCCUGGGUCAUACCAUUGUGCUUCCAAGAGCCCUGUUACAUGCAUAUUUCUCAGGAUGACAGUCAUCUUUAAUUAAGAGCACCAUGAGCAGCAGGUAUUCUUAAUUAAACGGAACAUUACCUGUAGGGCCUGCAAUCUAUAUCACUGUGUGCAUACUGCUGGGAUGCCAUCUGCAGUUUAUGGACAAAACAACAACAAUCACCCUACAUACUGACUUCAGAAACCACAAAUCUGCAAUCUUGACCAAGAAAUUGGAACAACCAAUGAUUAGAUUGAGCAACUGUACAUUGGAGAAUUAGCAAUAUAUGUCCACAUUUAUUCUUGGGGCCCAUCAGUGGAGACUUUAAAACAGUGGUUCUUAACCUUGGGUUACUCAGGUGUUUUUGAACUGCAACUCCCAGAAACCUCAGCCAGCACAGCUGGUGGCGAAGGCUUCUGGGAGUUGCAGUCCAAAAACACCUGAGUAACCCAAGGUUAAGAACCACUGCACAUAUUCGGUUCCUGCACCCUUCAGUGUUAUGGAUCAGCACUGAACAAAACCCUAAAUAAUGAUCUGACCAGAAACAAUUCCAUUCUUAUUAAGACCAAUAUGUGCAAAAGCAGAUAUAAACAUCUUUCCCCCUUUUUCUAAUGAGAUUAAUCCUCUUAUCCACAGGAAGCAGGAAGAAGUGUUUAGUCAGUUAGAUCCUUUUUUAAUGGUAGUAAUUGCUGGCCUUUCAGGAGAACAUGGCUGAUUUUUCUUAAUAAAGGGGCCAGGUGAAAUAGGAGCA
Molecule: long non-coding RNA, 1818 nt
Organism: Pogona vitticeps (central bearded dragon)
Lineage: Eukaryota; Metazoa; Chordata; Lepidosauria; Squamata; Agamidae
Source: Ensembl